AUGUGACUGAAAGGGGGGGUGCUGCUGGGGGGUCCCGGCUCAGGAGAGUGGGGCGCUUACAGGGCUGUAGUUUAUGUAUUGAAAACAUUGGAUUUGGUGGCACAAGGAUUGCCAACACGGUGCGUGCCGCGGCUGGAGAUGCUCUCUUAGUGCAGAUCACUGGGAAAACUGCUCUCUCACACAUCGAUCUUACGUUCAUCACACCAGGUCAUUUCUAUUUUGAAAGAACAGGAUAUGGGGAUAUGGGGUUGAUCUAUGUACCACCCAAAAUGAAAUUCUUAAACCUAUUAGUGUGCCAAACACACCAACUGUAGUGUUGUAGUGCCUAAUUAAUUCUGUGGAGCCAGACACUGAGAACACUCACGAUUGCCUAGCCGAAAUUCAUAUUUCCUCAAGCUUAAAAGUUUCGGGUCUGAAAUUUCACAAACAUUAUGAACACCCUGUUCUGCCCAAUUGGUUGAAUUUAAAGCUAUCACUACAGAGUGCAACCUGGUUAAGGGUAAAACUGCUAAUAUAUAAAUAUAUAGAUAAAUACUGACGUUUAGGCCCAUGGAUUGUGUUGUCUGUUUAGAGUUGUUUAAAUGCAAUGCGGUUUUCGAAAAACCGUUGGAACGCCACUUAUCGAGCAAAUAGUUUAAUUGAAUUCUGAUUCUGACUGCACUUCUCACUGUAUGUAUUACAGAUACCCAUGAGUUUUAGCCAGUGUGGGAGGGGGAAGGUAGAGGAGUGAUCUCUUACUUGCAGGCAACGGUGUGAUAUUUUAAAAAAAUUUUCUUGACCAGGGAUAGGUCCUAGAUCUGGCAUACCAUCUCAAGUUACCGUAAUUUGUGCUGAUACUAAACGUAUUUCGGUAGAUGCUCUACCUCUUGCACUAAUGACCUAUUGUUAUUAGGUCACUGCAUGCGGACUAACAGCAAUAUGUAUCUAACACAGCAUGAAAUGCUUACGGGUAGACCCAUGUCUGUGUCUGUUCCUCAUGAUGGACUGCCACUGGAGUAAUUGCAGAUGAAUCAAAAACAUAUAUGAGACCACUAACUAUUAUGUAUGAAGCUAUCUAUUCACAGGAAAAGAGCUGGGUGCAUUGUUAUGGGUGAGGCGUUACCGCCUCAACGGGGGGAGGUGUUCACCCGGAGGUGGGAGACCCGGCGCAGCGAGAGAAUGCUGACUACAAGGCAGCAGCGGACUACAAGAACGUGCGACCCCCGGAGGAUGCUACUCCAAUGACGAGAUGGUGGGGAACACGUGAAGGUCCGGUACGAAGCUGCUGUGUACGAAGCUGACGUCAACGGGGGGUCUGCUAUCGUAGAACUCUCAAGUCAGUGGCAGACAGGGUUCGUCCGACCCUCCUCCUGGAUUAUCCUCGCUUUCUAUUGGCUAGUCAGCGCUCUACACCUACGUGUGACUGGCCCCUGCGUGGCAGCAGCAUGGAGUUUGUCCAUUACCCUAGUUUUGGGCGGAACUGAUAAGGCUUGUGAAGUGCUUUGGGUGAAGGCUCAAGCAAAACAAAUGUCUCCAAAACUCAGUUGUGCAUUGGCCUGGAAUCUAACCCGGACUUCACAGAGGGCGCUUUCCAGGUAAGUAUUGUGCUCACUCAGCAAUUUGGCUCAAAAUUGACAAGGAGCAUACUAAGGCUCUUGUAUAUUUGAGCAACAUGGACUGUGUCUGCUACCCUUUUUUUUGGACAGAAUUGAUAAGGCUUGUGGAGUUCUUUGGGUGAAGGCUCAAUAUUCAAAACUCAGCCGUGAGUGGCCGGGAAUGGAACCCCGGCCUCACGCGUGGUCGGUCAGAAUUUGACCACUGAACCACCAAUGCUUAUCUUAAAGGAGUAAGGACAAUGCAGAGUGUGCUUUUCAUUAAGUAUUGUUCUGAUUAAACAGUUUGGUUUCAAAAUAGAAAAGGAACAUCCUAAGUCUCUUGUAUAUUUCAGCAGCAUGGAGUUGGUCUAGUUUGGGCAGAAAUGAUAAGGCUUGUAACGUUCUU
This is a long non-coding RNA of Ictalurus punctatus (channel catfish), 1980 nucleotides long. RefSeq lists it as uncharacterized. Lineage: Eukaryota; Metazoa; Chordata; Actinopteri; Siluriformes; Ictaluridae. The record is from RefSeq and is a predicted model, not a curated record. The transcript has 3 exons.